UACGAAGGGGGCUAGCGUUGUUCGGAAUUACUGGGCGUAAAGGGCGCGUAGGCGGCUGAGUUAGUUAGACGUGAAAGCCCAGGGCUCAACUCUGGAAUUGCGUUUAAUACUGCUCGGCUUGAGUAUGGGAGAGGAUAGUGGAAUUCCCAGUGUAGAGGUGAAAUUCGUAGAUAUUGGGAAGAACACCGGUGGCGAAGGCGGCUAUCUGGACCAUUACUGACGCUGAGGCGCGAAAGCGUGGGGAGCAAACAGG
Molecule: ribosomal RNA, 253 nt
Filed under: uncultured bacterium
Lineage: Bacteria
Description: partial 16S ribosomal RNA
Rfam family: Bacterial small subunit ribosomal RNA
Source: RNAcentral